RNAcentral lists this ribosomal RNA (500 nucleotides) under uncultured bacterium. Its description in RNAcentral is "partial 16S ribosomal RNA". It matches the Rfam family "Bacterial small subunit ribosomal RNA", at positions 29 to 523 of the family's 1533-position model. The record is from RNAcentral.
AUUGAACGCUGGCGGCAUGCCUUACACAUGCAAGUCGAACGGCAGCACGGGAGCAAUCCUGGUGGCGAGUGGCGAACGGGUGAGUAAUACAUCGGAACGUGCCCAGUCGUGGGGGAUAACUACUCGAAAGAGUAGCUAAUAACGCAUACGACUUGAGGGUGAAAGCGGGGGAUAGUAAGACCUCGCGCGAUUGGAGCGGCCGAUGUCAUGUUAGCGAGUUGGUGGGGUAAAGGCCUACCAAGGCAACGAUCUGUAGUUGGUCGGAGAGGACGACCAGCCACACCGGGACUGAGACACGGCCCAGACUCCUACGGGAGGCAGCAGUGGGGAAUUUUGGACAAUGGGCGCAAGCCUGAUCCAGCAAUGCCGCGUGCAGGAAGAAGGCCUUCGGGUUGUAAACUGCUUUUGUCAGGGAAGAAAUCCUCUGGGUUAAUACCUCGGGGGGAUGACGGUACCUGAAGAAUAAGCACCGGCUAACUACGUGCCAGCAGCCGCAGUAA